RNAcentral lists this ribosomal RNA (253 nucleotides) under uncultured bacterium. RNAcentral's name for it is "partial 16S ribosomal RNA". It matches the Rfam family "Bacterial small subunit ribosomal RNA", at positions 524 to 776 of the family's 1533-position model. The record is from RNAcentral.
UACAGAGGUCCCAAGCGUUGUUCGGAUUUACUGGGCGUAAAGGGUGCGUAGGCGGUCGGGCAAGUCUGACGUGAAAUCUCCAAGCUCAACUUGGAAAUGGCGUCGGAUACUAUUCGGCUGGAGGAAUGGAGGGGAGACUGGAAUUCUCGGUGUAGCAGUGAAAUGCGUAGAUAUCGAGAGGAACACCAGUGGCGAAGGCGAGUCUCUGGACAUUUCCUGACGCUGAGGCACGAAAGCCAGGGGAGCAAACGGG